AGAGUUUGAUCCUGGCUCAGGAUGAACGCUGGCGGCGUGCCUAACACAUGCAAGUCGAACGGGAACUUUGGAAUGAAGGUUCGCUGGAUUUCCAAAAAUUCUAGUGGCGGACGGGUGAGUAACGCGUGGGUAACCUGCCCUUAAGAGGUGAAUAACAGUGAGAAAUUAUUGCUAAUACACCAUAUGCUUACAGUACCGCAUGGUACAGUGAGGAAAAGAAUUUCGCUUAAGGAUGGACCCGCGUUUGAUUAGCCAGUUGGCAGGGUAAAAGCCUACCAAAGCAACGAUCAAUAGCCGGCCUGAGAGGGUGAACGGCCACAUUGGAACUGAGACACGGUCCAAACUCCUACGGGAGGCAGCAGUGGGGAGUAUUGCACAAUGGGCGCAAGCCUGAUGCAGCAACGCCGCGUGAGUGAAGAAGUAUUUCGGUAUGUAAAGCUCUAUCGAUGGGGAAUAAGAUGAAGGUACCCAAGUAAGAAGCCCCGGCUAACUACGUGCC
This 499-nucleotide ribosomal RNA is filed under the name uncultured organism. RNAcentral's name for it is "SSU rRNA". It matches the Rfam family "Bacterial small subunit ribosomal RNA", at positions 8 to 509 of the family's 1533-position model. The record is from RNAcentral.